Molecule: ribosomal RNA, 151 nt
Filed under: Listeria monocytogenes
Lineage: Bacteria; Bacillati; Bacillota; Bacilli; Caryophanales; Listeriaceae
Description: partial 16S ribosomal RNA
Rfam family: Bacterial small subunit ribosomal RNA
Source: RNAcentral
UCUUCUGCACUCCAGUCUUCCAGUUUCCAAUGUUAGUGGCGGACGGGUGAGUAACACGUGGGCAACCUGCCUGUAAGUUGGGGAUAACUCCGGGAAACCGGGGCUAAUACCGAAUGAUAAAGUGUGGCGCAUGCCACGCUUUUGAAAGAUG